Molecule: ribosomal RNA, 517 nt
Filed under: Geotrichum candidum
Lineage: Eukaryota; Fungi; Ascomycota; Dipodascomycetes; Dipodascales; Dipodascaceae
Description: eukaryotic LSU rRNA
Rfam family: Eukaryotic large subunit ribosomal RNA
Source: RNAcentral
CAAGUAGGAUUACCCGCUGAACUUAAGCAUAUCAAUAAGCGGAGGAAAAGAAACCAACAGGGAUUGCCUUAGUAACGGCGAGUGAAGCGGCAAAAGCUCAAAUUUGAAAUCGGCCACCAGGUCGAGUUGUAAUUUGUAGAUUGUAUCUUGAGAGCGGAUUAAAGUCUGUUGGAACACAGCGCCUUAGAGGGUGACAGCCCCGUAAAAUCUAUUCUCAUUGUAAGAUACUUUCGAAGAGUCGAGUUGUUUGGGAAUGCAGCUCUAAGUGGGAGGUAAAUUCCUUCUAAAGCUAAAUAUUGACGAGAGACCGAUAGCGAACAAGUACUGUGAAGGAAAGAUGAAAAGCACUUUGAAAAGAGAGUGAAAAAGUACGUGAAAUUGUUAAAAGGGAAGGGUAUUGAAUCAGACUUGGUGCUGUUGUUCAACUGUGUUUCGGCAUAGUGUACUCAGCAGUACUAGGCCAAGGUGGGGUGUUUGGGAGUGAAAAAGAAGUUGGAACGUAACUCUUCGGAGUGUU